Molecule: ribosomal RNA, 456 nt
Filed under: uncultured Burkholderia sp.
Lineage: Bacteria; Pseudomonadati; Pseudomonadota; Betaproteobacteria; Burkholderiales; Burkholderiaceae
Description: bacterial SSU rRNA
Rfam family: Bacterial small subunit ribosomal RNA
Source: RNAcentral
GGAGGGGGGGAUCUUAGGACCUCUCGCUACAGGGGCGGCCGAUGGCAGAUUAGCUAGUUGGUGGGGUAAAGGCCUACCAAGGCGACGAUCUGUAGCUGGUCUGAGAGGACGACCAGCCACACUGGGACUGAGACACGGCCCAGACUCCUACGGGAGGCAGCAGUGGGGAAUUUUGGACAAUGGGGGCAACCCUGAUCCAGCAAUGCCGCGUGUGUGAAGAAGGCCUUCGGGUUGUAAAGCACUUUUGUCCGGAAAGAAAACGUCGUGGUUAAUACCCGUGGCGGAUGACGGUACCGGAAGAAUAAGCACCGGCUAACUACGUGCCAGCAGCCGCGGUAAUACGUAGGGUGCAAGCGUUAAUCGGAAUUACUGGGCGUAAAGCGUGCGCAGGCGGUCCGCUAAGACAGAUGUGAAAUCCCCGGGCUUAACCUGGGAACUGCAUUUGUGACUGGCGGG